ACCCCUCCCUACUGCUCAAAAAAGAGAGAUUAAACUCCC
This 39-nucleotide transfer RNA is filed under the name Milyeringa veritas (cave gudgeon). Its description in RNAcentral is "partial tRNA-Thr". Lineage: Eukaryota; Metazoa; Chordata; Actinopteri; Gobiiformes; Milyeringidae. The record is from RNAcentral.